AUAUCGAUAAGCGGAGGAAAAGAAACCUACAGGGAUUGCCCUAGUAACGGCGAGUGAAGCGGCAACAGCUCAAAUUUGAAAUCUGGCUUCGGCGCGAGUUGUAAUUUGAAGAGGAUGCUUUGGGCGCGGCUCUAACUGAGUUCCCUGGAACGAGACGCCACAGAGGGUGAGAGCCCCGUAUAGUUAGAUGCCUAGUCGAUGUAAAGCUCUUUCGACGAGUCGAGUAGUUUGGGAAUGCUGCUCUAAAUGGGAGGUAAAUUUCUUCUAAAGCUAAAUAUUGGCCAGAGACCGAUAGCGCACAAGAUAGAGUAGAUCGAAAGAUGAAAAGCACUUUGAAAAGAGGGUUAAAUAGCACGUGAAAUUGUUGAAAGGGAGGCGCUUGUGUCCAGACUUGCGCCGGGCAGAUCAUCCUGUGUUCUCACCGGUGCACUCUGCCCGGCUCAGUCCAGCAUCGGUUCUCGUGGGGGGAUAAAGGUCCAGGGACACGUAGCUCCUCCGGGAGUGUUAUAGCUCGGGGCUGUAGUGCCCUCGUGGGGACCGAGGUUCGCGCAUCCGCAAGGAUGCUGGUCUAAUGCUCAUCAGCGA
This 585-nucleotide ribosomal RNA is filed under the name uncultured fungus. RNAcentral describes it as "eukaryotic LSU rRNA". It matches the Rfam family "Eukaryotic large subunit ribosomal RNA", at positions 40 to 647 of the family's 3401-position model. The record is from RNAcentral. Lineage: Eukaryota; Fungi.